RNAcentral lists this ribosomal RNA (395 nucleotides) under uncultured bacterium. RNAcentral's name for it is "partial 16S ribosomal RNA". It matches the Rfam family "Bacterial small subunit ribosomal RNA", at positions 338 to 731 of the family's 1533-position model. The record is from RNAcentral.
CCUACGGGGGGCAGCAGUGAGGAAUAUUGGUCAAUGGCCGAGAGGCUGAACCAGCCAAGUCGCGUGAGGGAAGACUGUCCUAUGGAUUGUAAACUUCUUUUGUCAGGGAGUAAAGUCAUCCACGUGUGGGUGUUGGAGAGUACCUGAAGAAUAAGCAUCGGCUAACUCCGUGCCAGCAGCCGCGGUAAUACGGAGGAUGCGAGCGUUAUCCGGAUUUAUUGGGUUUAAAGGGUGCUUGGGCGGGUUAUUAAGUCAGUGGUAAAAUCUUGGAGCUCAACGGCAGAAUGCCGUUGAAACUGUUAGUCUUGAGUACACUAGAGGUAGGCGGAAUGCGUGGUGUAGCGGUGAAAUGCAUAGAUAUCACGCAGAACUCCGAUUGCGAAGGCAGCAUACCG